Molecule: ribosomal RNA, 696 nt
Filed under: uncultured beta proteobacterium
Lineage: Bacteria; Pseudomonadati; Pseudomonadota; Betaproteobacteria
Description: bacterial SSU rRNA
Rfam family: Bacterial small subunit ribosomal RNA
Source: RNAcentral
GGCAGCACGGGUGCUUGCACCUGGUGGCGAGUGGCGAACGGGUGAGUAAUACAUCGGAACAUGUCCUGUAGUGGGGGAUAGCCCGGCGAAAGCCGGAUUAAUACCGCAUACGAUCUACGGAUGAAAGCGGGGGACCUUCGGGCCUCGCGCUAUAGGGUUGGCCGAUGGCUGAUUAGCUAGUUGGUGGGGUAAAGGCCUACCAAGGCGACGAUCAGUAGCUGGUCUGAGAGGACGACCAGCCACACUGGGACUGAGACACGGCCCAGACUCCUACGGGAGGCAGCAGUGGGGAAUUUUGGACAAUGGGCGAAAGCCUGAUCCAGCAAUGCCGCGUGUGUGAAGAAGGCCUUCGGGUUGUAAAGCACUUUUGUCCGGAAAGAAAUCCUUGGUUCUAAUAUAGCCGGGGGAUGACGGUACCGGAAGAAUAAGCACCGGCUAACUACGUGCCAGCAGCCGCGGUAAUACGUAGGGUGCGAGCGUUAAUCGGAAUUACUGGGCGUAAAGCGUGCGCAGGCGGUUUGCUAAGACCGAUGUGAAAUCCCCGGGCUCAACCUGGGAACUGCAUUGGUGACUGGCAGGCUAGAGUAUGGCAGAGGGGGGUAGAAUUCCACGUGUAGCAGUGAAAUGCGUAGAGAUGUGGAGGAAUACCGAUGGCGAAGGCAGCCCCCUGGGCCAAUACUGACGCUCAUGCACGAA